Molecule: ribosomal RNA, 253 nt
Filed under: uncultured bacterium
Lineage: Bacteria
Description: partial 16S ribosomal RNA
Rfam family: Bacterial small subunit ribosomal RNA
Source: RNAcentral
UACGUAGGCAGCAAGCGUUGUUCGGAAUUACUGGGCGUAGAGGGUGCGUAGGCGGUGCUCUAAGUUUGGUGUGAAAUCUCCCGGCUUAACUGGGAGGGUGCGCCGAAGACUGGAGUGCUUGAGUGCGGGAGAGGAAAGCGGAAUUCCUGGUGUAGCGGUGAAAUGCGUAGAGAUCAGGAGGAACACCUGCGGUGUAGACGGCUUUCUGGACCGUAACUGACGAUGAGGCGCGAAAGUGUGGGUAGCAAACAGG